AGUGAACGCUGGCGGUAGGCCUAACACAUGCAAGUCGAACGGCAGCACAGAGGAGCUUGCUCCUUGGGUGGCGAGUGGCGGACGGGUGAGGAAUACAUCGGAAUCUACUCUGUCGUGGGGGAUAACGUAGGGAAACUUACGCUAAUACCGCAUACGACCUACGGGUGAAAGCAGGGGAUCUUCGGACCUUGCGCGAUUGAAUGAGCCGAUGUCGGAUUAGGUAGUUGGCGGGGUAAAGGCCCACCAAGGCGACGAUCCGUAGCUGGUCUGAGAAGAUGAUGCGCCACACUGUGACGUAGACACAGUCCAGACUCCUACGGGAGGCAGCAGUGGGGAAUAUUGGAGAAUGGGCGCAAGGCUGAUCCAGCAAUACCGCGUGGGUGAAGAAGGCCUUCGGGUUGUAAAGCCCUUUUGUUGAGAAGGAAAGCCAUCUUGUUAAUACCCGUGUGGGAUGACGGUACCCAAAGAAUAAGCACCGGCUAACUUCGUGCCAGCCGCCGCCGUAA
This 506-nucleotide ribosomal RNA is filed under the name uncultured bacterium. RNAcentral's name for it is "partial 16S ribosomal RNA". It matches the Rfam family "Bacterial small subunit ribosomal RNA", at positions 29 to 523 of the family's 1533-position model. The record is from RNAcentral.